UACGUAGGGGGCUAGCGUUAUCCGGAAUUACUGGGCGUAAAGGGUGCGUAGGUGGUUUCUUAAGUCAGAGGUGAAAGGCUACGGCUCAACCGUAGUAAGCCUUUGAAACUGGGAAACUUGAGUGCAGGAGAGGAGAGUGGAAUUCCUAGUGUAGCGGUGAAAUUCGUAGAUAUUAGGAGGAACACCAGUUGCGAAGGCGGCUCUCUGGACUGUAACUGACACUGAGGCACGAAAGCGUGGGGAGCAAACAGGAUUAGAUACCCUGGUAGUCCCUGAGCGGG
This 281-nucleotide ribosomal RNA is filed under the name uncultured prokaryote. RNAcentral's name for it is "partial 16S ribosomal RNA". It matches the Rfam family "Bacterial small subunit ribosomal RNA", at positions 524 to 803 of the family's 1533-position model. The record is from RNAcentral.